RNAcentral lists this ribosomal RNA (371 nucleotides) under uncultured organism. RNAcentral's name for it is "bacterial SSU rRNA". It matches the Rfam family "Bacterial small subunit ribosomal RNA", at positions 526 to 896 of the family's 1533-position model. The record is from RNAcentral.
CGUAGGGUGCGAGCGUUAAUCGGAAUUACUGGGCGUAAAGCGUGCGCAGGCGGUUUGUUAAGAUAGGCGUGAAAUCCCCGGGCUCAACCUGGGAACUGCGCUUAUGACUGGCAAGCUAGAGUACGGCAGAGGGGGUGGAAUUCCACGUGUAGCAGUGAAAUGCGUAGAGAUGUGGAGGAACACCAAUGGCGAAGGCAGCCCCCUGGGUCGAUACUGACGCUCAUGCACGGAAGCGUGGGUAGCAAACAGGAUUAGAUACCCUGGUAGUCCACGCCCUAAACGAUGUCAACUAGGUGUUGGGAGGGUAAAACCUUUUAGUAUCGGAGCUAACGCGUGAAGUUGACUGCCUGGGGAGUACGGCCGCAAGGUUA